RNAcentral lists this ribosomal RNA (253 nucleotides) under uncultured bacterium. RNAcentral's name for it is "partial 16S ribosomal RNA". It matches the Rfam family "Bacterial small subunit ribosomal RNA", at positions 524 to 776 of the family's 1533-position model. The record is from RNAcentral.
UACAGAGGGGGCAAGCGUUGUUCGGAAUUACUGGGCGUAAAGGGUGCGUAGGCGGCCAUGUAAGUGAGGUGUGAAAUCCCUCGGCUCAACCGAGGAACUGCGCUUCAUACUGCAUGGCUUGAGGGAGACAGGGGUAAGCGGAACUGAUGGUGGAGCGGUGAAAUGCGUUGAUAUCAUCAGGAACACCGGUGGCGAAAGCGGCUUACUGGGUCUCUUCUGACGCUGAGGUACGAAAGCUAGGGUAGCGAACGGG